GACGAACGCUGGCGGCGUGCUUAACACAUGCAAGUCGAACGGAAAGGCCUCUUUCGGGGGGUACUCGAGUGGCGAACGGGUGAGUAACACGUGAGUAACCUGCCCUUGACUUUGGGAUAACUUCAGGAAACUGGGGCUAAUACCGGAUAGGAGCUCCUGCUGCAUGGUGGGGGUUGGAAAGUUUCGGCGGUUGGGGAUGGACUCGCGGCUUAUCAGCUUGUUGGUGGGGUAGUGGCUUACCAAGGCUUUGACGGGUAGCCGGCCUGAGAGGGUGACCGGCCACAUUGGGACUGAGAUACGGCCCAGACUCCUACGGGAGGCAGCAGUGGGGAAUAUUGCACAAUGGGUGGAAGCCUGAUGCAGCAACGCCGUGUGCGGGAUAACGGCCUUCGGGUUGUAGACCGAUUUCGCUCAUGACGAAGCUUUGUGUGACGGUAGUGGGUAAAGAAGCACCGGCUAACUACGUG
This 467-nucleotide ribosomal RNA is filed under the name uncultured bacterium. Its description in RNAcentral is "partial 16S ribosomal RNA". It matches the Rfam family "Bacterial small subunit ribosomal RNA", at positions 28 to 507 of the family's 1533-position model. The record is from RNAcentral.